RNAcentral lists this long non-coding RNA (276 nucleotides) under Elaeis guineensis (African oil palm). RNAcentral describes it as "long non-coding RNA (EGUI_LNC000075)". The record is from RNAcentral. Lineage: Eukaryota; Viridiplantae; Streptophyta; Magnoliopsida; Arecales; Arecaceae.
AGCCAGAUGACCAGAGAUCAGACUAAGCGCUAGCUGACCAAGGGUCGGAUACUUGGUCAGACAAUCUUUAGUUGAAAUUGUCAAACUUAGUCGAGUGAGUUAUGGUCGACCACUGGUGUGACUGAGGCAUAUUGGCACAAGCUUAAUGGGCUGGAUAUCUAUCAAUCUCUUCAUAUUAUCGAUCCACUCCAAAAUUCUUCCAACACAUACCCCUUACUCCCUAGUCCAAGCUCUGGUCGGGCUAUGGGAGUAUUCACUUGGCUUUUAAACUGCAGG